Molecule: ribosomal RNA, 484 nt
Filed under: uncultured bacterium
Lineage: Bacteria
Description: partial 16S ribosomal RNA
Rfam family: Bacterial small subunit ribosomal RNA
Source: RNAcentral
AUUGAACGCUGGCGGCAGGCCUAACACAUGCAAGUCGAGCGGAUGAAGGUGGCUUGCGCCUGGAUUCAACGGCGGACGGGUGGGUAAUUCCUAGGAAGCUGCCUUGUCGUGGGGGAUAACGCCAGGAAACGGGCCCUAAUCUCGCAUCGCUUCAUAGGGUGAAAGAUGGGGUUUUUGGUUCAUCACGGCAAUUGAUUCACCUAGGUAGGAUCAGCCGGUUGGUUGGGUAAUGGCCUACCAAGGCGACCACCCGUAACUGGUCUGAGAGGAUGACUAGUCACACUGGAACUGAGAAACGGUCCAGACUCCUACGGGAGGCAGCAGUGGGGAAUAUUGGACAUUGGGCGAAAGCCUGAUCCAGCCAUGCCGCGUGUGUGAAGAAGGUCUUCGGAUUGUAAAGCACUUUAAGUUGGGAGGAAGGGCAGUAAGUUAAUACCUUGCUGUUUUGACGUUACCAACAGAAUAAGCACCGGCUAACUUCGUG